Molecule: transfer RNA, 82 nt
Filed under: Phycisphaerae bacterium
Lineage: Bacteria; Pseudomonadati; Planctomycetota; Phycisphaerae
Also listed under: 1 other name
Description: tRNA-Leu
Rfam family: tRNA
About the family: Transfer RNA (tRNA) molecules are approximately 80 nucleotides in length.
Source: RNAcentral
GCUGGGGUGGCGAAAUUGGUAGACGCACUUGCCUUAGGAGCAAGCGGAGUAAUCCAUGGAGGUUCAAGUCCUCUCCCCAGCA